Molecule: long non-coding RNA, 1610 nt
Organism: Leptonychotes weddellii (Weddell seal)
Lineage: Eukaryota; Metazoa; Chordata; Mammalia; Carnivora; Phocidae
Source: RefSeq, a predicted model, not a curated record
CUCGGCAACGCCAAGCUGGGCGCGGGCUCUUCCCCCGCUGGGCCGGGUCCCCGGGUUCCGGCUGCGGUUGGCCCCCGCGGCGCCCUCAGCCUGGAGGAGGUAGCGCCCCACCCUCGUCCCAGACAGCAAGAGCAGCCAGGACGCACAUUUCACCGCUUUAUUGGCAGCCCGGAGCCCGGGCUGGACUCCCGUGAGCUUACACUGUCCGAGCCAAGACUGAGGAGUCCAAAGGCCUCCCGGACAGCUCAGGGCGCGCGCGCCUCGCUCGACCCUCGACACUCGACCCUCGGGGCAGAGGAGGCGUCAGGCCCAACCCCCACCCCCGGCGUGGCCCUGCCCGCCUCAGCGAUCAGGUGGAGCCGCAGCGCCUCGUGUAGUCCUGGAUGGAGGCCUGGAAGUGCUCGGUGCUGUUGAGAUCUGGGCGGCACAGGAUCACGUAGCACUUGGGGAGGAAACACCCGCUGAAGCCGCCACUCAGGCUGCUCAGCGCCGCCAGCACGUUGACCGCGGGCAGGUACUUGGCCUGGUAGACGCUGGCCGUGGUGAAGAAGCCAAUCCAGGACACGAAGUUGAGGAGCAGACUGAAGGUGACGCAUUCGGCCUCGUUGUAGUUCUCUGGCAGGUCCUUGCCCAGGUAGCUGCAGUCCAAGGCGCUGGCGGACAGGAGGCCGUUGUAGACGAAAGCCAACAUGAAGCCCAGGGAGUUGGCCUCCGUGCAAUCAAGCACCACCUGCUGAGGGAAGCGCUGGUAUUCCCUGGUGGGCCGUGGGGUCCACACCAUGAGCCAAGUUAGACAGAUGAGCAGCUGGGCCAUUGAGCUGAUGACCACAAAUAGGCUGGGACCAUGGUUUUGGACCCAGGCAUGGUAGAAGAAUUCAGUCUGGCGGCAGGUAUUCUCCAGCCUGUACCUAACUGCAGCGAAGUGAGCAAGGCCCUGGUUCUGCACAUGUGUGGCCCAAGGGGGAUCCCCUCAUCUGCUCUGUGGACCCUAGGAGUGCCCAGUCAUUCGCCCACUCACUUGGUCACUCACCACUCUUGUUGAGGAAGGUCCCGGCCUCACAGGGCACACACUCAAAGCAACAGUGGUGGAAACCCACGAUGACUCGCUGGUGUCCUUCAAGACAGUCGCUGGAGCACACAGACUUAGGCACCUGCAAGAAGCCACAGGUGUUCUGUAACCACAUGGAGUGGCUCAAGUCGAGGGAUGCUCACAUGGAAUGGGAAACAAUCUCUGUACAUCUGCUUUCACAGCUCACUCCCAGGGCAGAGCCCCUGGUUUCAUAAACCUGCAGCAGCCGGCCAUCUGGGUGCUGCCCGGGAAGCUGGAUAGGGCCAUGUUGGCCUGGUACCUGGGAUCCCCCUCCUGCUCGUCCACAGUAACCUCAGGCAUCAGGCUAUCCAUAAGGCAGUCCCCUUGUGAGUGACCAUGUCUCUGUUACCUUGUUGUCCUUUCCGUGCCACCGGAUUUUGGUUUUAUUUAUGUCCAGCUGAACUGGAGGCCACGUGGAAGAACCGAUGACCCUAAAGUUCCACUUGGGGCCACUCCAGUCCCAAGCAAUUAUGUCAUAGCCGCUGAGGGGGUCCCCGUUGUCAUUAAAUAUCACAGUAUC